Molecule: non-coding RNA, 269 nt
Organism: Myodes glareolus (Bank vole)
Lineage: Eukaryota; Metazoa; Chordata; Mammalia; Rodentia; Cricetidae
Source: RefSeq, a predicted model, not a curated record
UGGGAUGAACAAGCGGCUCCUCCCUCCUACAGAACAGCCUCAAAUUCAGAGAUCUACCAGCCUCUGCCUUCCCAGUGCCAGGAUUAAAGAUGUGUUCCACCACACCAAACUCUAUGCUUGCAGGGUCUGGACUUCUAUCCGUGGAUCUUCAGGAAUUAUCAGAACUUACCAGAAGUCCUUCCCACAGUCAAUACAGGAGAGACAUUCACAGUUUCGGCAGGCAGACACGUGCUUUUCCACCUGCGCUUUCUUCACUGAUUCGCCACACG